Esox lucius (northern pike) is the source of this 539-nucleotide long non-coding RNA. NCBI's taxonomy places the organism in Eukaryota, Metazoa, Chordata, Actinopteri, Esociformes, Esocidae. The record is from Ensembl.
AAUUUCGACACUAUGGCGUGUGUGUAAUUACAGGCAUGCUAAAACCUUUUCUGUAUUGUUCCACACUUUCCAUAUAUUACAUAGAUAAUUCACCGACAGGAUUUGAAAGAUGAGGAAAGAAACCUCGCUCUGACAAUAUACAAAAGGACCCUCCCUGGUGUACUGUUUUUGCAAUGCUUGAGGACAUUUAAAGCAGUGAAAAAAAUGAAAGGAGGAUGUUUCCCAGCACAGGAAAUCUCCAUGAUCAUACCUAUAACCCCUGUCCUCCCUCUGCUCCAGCCACGUUGAUCCGUCUCACUGCAUCUCCCUCUGUUGACAGUCCCCAGUCCUCCCUCUGCUCCAGCCACGUUGAUCCGUCUCACUGCAUCUCCCUCUGUUGACAGUCCCCUGUCCUCCCUCUGCUCCAGCCACUUUGAUCCGUCUCACUGCAUCUCCCUCUGUUGACAGUCCCCUGUCCUCCCUCUGCUCCAGCCACUUUGAUCCGUCUCACUGCAUCUCCCUCUGUUGACAGUCCCCUGUUCUCCCUCUGCUCCAGCCAC